UCAAGUCUUUAAAUGUCAAGGGUGAGGGUUGGGUGUUCUUUGAUAUCUUUUCUUAUGUCGUCAUGUAGAUUCUUUUUUUCCUCUAGUGAAAGACAUAAUAAAGUUUGAAAGGCUGGUGAAUAAGUCUGAUCUGGGGAAGAAUUUAGAAGAAAGUUGGUGACAGACUUCUGAAAUAGUAUUUCAACAAGUAACAGCAUUGAAUUCAAAAUGAAAACUAAAAGUUCAUAGAAUAGACUUGUAUGUAUUGAAACGGGCCUUGAAAUACCAGAAUCAGAAGUGUGCUUUGAUAAAGGCCGUCUUGUCCUUUGUUCAGAUGCCAGCUAUGAUGUGUUUAAACAAAUCCUUUGGACCUACCACAGUAAAGUUGGUUUUACAUUUAUCUCGGACAAGGGCCCCCAAACCCGGGCCACAGACCACUACCAGUCCUCGGCUUGUUAAAAACCAACACAUAGCAGAUGGGACCGUCUAGUUGCAGAAAAACAAACUCAGGGCUCCCAAUGAUUCUACAUUACGCACCAUUAGGAUAUUGCCUCCUGUCUUCUGUCCUUCAUUCCUUCUGAGGAGAAGUCAGCCAAAUUCAAGUUGUUUCCACUCAACAGGCAAUUAAUUUGGAAGAGCUAAAAUUGGAAACUGCCCCUGCCAUCUGCAAUGAACAGAAGGUCAAAUAACUCCUGCUCAUUACAAUGAUCACAUUUUGUGAGUUUGAUUAUCUUCAUGGAAUCUAUCAGGGGUGGUUCCAACUGCUACAUUAAAUCCGGGAGUGCGAGCACCAGUCUUCCCAAGAGCCAUGCCAAUGCACACACCACCUCAAGAAUUCUCAUCGGGGAUAUUUCACUUCAAGUGACUCAAGCCGGGUACCCCAGUGUGGACUUUCAUUCCACCUUCUCUUUCAAUCGGUAAUUAAGUUUCAACUCCCACUGAUGCUAGUUCCUUUAUCGCAGCAUCCUUCUACAUCUGUCUUUUUCUUUCCAUUCCCAUAGCUUCUAGCCUAAGACAGGCCCUCUUAACCAUUUCACUGGACUAUUGCAAUAACUUGUGGACAUGCUUUCACCUUUAAUUUGGAUCCAAUCUUCCAUACUCCAACCAUCCAUUCUUCACAUCACUGAUAAGAUUGCCUUCUUCAAUAAUGAGAUCAUUCUCCUUUCCCUUAAAAAAUUAAGUCCAAACACCUUAUUAUUGUAAAUAAGGCUUUCACUAAAUCAUAACUUACAUGUUUAAAGAUUCUGUUUAUAUUAUUUUUAAAUACUUUAUACUUAAUGAUAGCUCAUCUUGGCAAACAUAUUCCAAAGAGCAAGCAGAUAGAAAUGUAUACAUCACCUUCUAUUUUUUAUUUUCAUUUUUCAACUUAAAUCUUCCAAAGUAAUUUAUGAACUCCAAUAUUAACUGAACCUAUUUGUAUGUUUCCUCAUUAGUAAUAUGAAAUAUUUGUAGUUCCUGUUAAUCGCAGUUAAAGUACACUUUAUGUCUGUGGAAAACAAAAUAUAAGAAUGCUCAAUUUAAAUCAUUUUAAAUAUCAAGACUGUAAUUCACAAAAUUGUACAUUAAUCGUGGAAACUUUUAAAAAUACACAUAAGGCAAAUUUUGAAUCUUACUAUUGACCAUCUUGCUUCUAAAAACGUAUUAUGGAAAGAAUAUUAGGUAUAAUAAACCUAUUUUUAAGGUAAUGAAUGGCAAACUGUAUUUUCUAAUUGCUCUCCUAUGGAAGGUGACUACAGAGUGUUCCAGUCAUACCUGUAACAUCCUGAGCUUAUUCUGUUUUUAACAGGAAUAACAACAUUUUAAUAUGUAUUGAGACAUUCAUUUUCUAACACAAAUAUGCAGAGUAAAUGCUGUGGUUUUUUGUUUGUUUGUUUGUUUGUUUGUUUUUUAUCUCUCUUUUGCAGUCUCUUUUGGCCAAGUAAACAUGCUCACUCUUAAAAGUAUAGAUAUGUUUUCAUGUCACUGACCAACAUAAUUGGAAGAGAAGCAACUGAAUUUUUUCAAAAUCCUACACAAUGUAAAACAAUAGCUCCACUUGGGGACAAGUUGGUGACUGGAAAAUCGUCAGUUUUCUAAUUUCCACCAAGUUAUGGAUCUCUCGAUGGAAUCAUGCAUUUCAGUGAAACUUCACUGGAUUAUAGUGUGGCAGCUGUAUGGAUCAUAUAGGUUGGCAUUCUGAACAUUUAUCCAAACUUAUGGUCUUUUCAUGCCUCAUGCAUAAACAACAAAUUGUUCUCUCCUGUUGUCAGUGUUUUCCAAUGCGCUAGUAUUAGUUUCAGUGGUGCUGCUAUCUCAUUUUACCAAAGACCAGGACUACUAUAAAUUAUGUCUACAUUAAUUUAUUUGGACAUAGAUUGGAGAAAUUUUAUCUGAAGAAUAUGCCUUCUCUUUCUGCCUCUCUCUCUUUCUCUCUGAACCUCCCAGUAAAACAGUUUUCCAGAAAAAAACACUGGACCAAUUUGGCUUAAGUAGGUUUUCUUUGUAGCAAUCAUAAAUAUUAUCAUUGCUUCCAUUCAUUUCACUAAUCAUAUAUUCACAGAUAUGAAAUACUGAUGCCUAUACAUUGAUCUCUAAGGAAACUUUAUACUUGUGUUGAAUAAAGCUAACUCACAGACAAACUGACCAUGGUAGUGGAUCAUGUAUUACUAUUUUUAAAAAGGAAAAAUAUAGAUGACUUUAGAAUCUGAAUAUGGAUGUUCAGUAUGGAAUAAACAACUAGCAUAUUGCAUAAUCUUUCUAUUGAAGAUGCAAGUUAGAAAGAGACCUUCUCAUUUUCCUGCUCUCUCUAUCAGUAGCAGGGCAUAUGUUAUUUUUAUAUGAAUCAACACAUAUGUGUUUUUGGGGAGUGAUGAGUUAUGAUGAGUUUCUCCCCCUCUUUCUGAGAAAUCAAAUGAACUUCAAUUGCAAACUCUUUGUAGGCAAAAUUAGUAUCUACUUUGAUUAACCUUGUAUCAUCCAGGAUUAUCACCACCACUUUGACACAUUCUAGAUAUCAAUAAUUAUUUUUGAAAGAAUUAAUUGAUAGGUAAGUUUUGAGCCAGCAAAUAGAUUUUCAAAGUGCCAUCACCUACUAUGUUUAAUGGACUCACAUACAAUGAAUUAAAAAUAAUAUAAUGAGAUACACAGCAAUUAUUUUCAAUGUCAGCAGCAAAUAGAAGGCUUGCAGUGUGAUUUACUUCCUCUAUCACCACCGCUGCUCCAUAUAAGACCACAUCUCCCAACCCCACCAAAAUCAUUGUACAACUUAACUAAAAGCAGUAUAAACAAAACAUUUUGACAAGUCUUCUAAUUCUCCAUUCCAAUUAGAUAUCUUAUUAUAAAAAGAUUGUGUCAACAUUACUGUUUUACUGUUCUCUUGACAGGAAGGAAAAUAUUAUUGCAAAGUGCUUCAUCCACGUGGAUGAAAAAUAAUUCUGUUUUGUUUAUGGGUAUUUAAGAAAUCUUAUGCUUUCUUAUCUGUGCUUUACUGGGAUGAACAGAAACAUAUCACAAGUAAUAAAUGUAGUAAAAUAUACAACAUAAAUUAUCACAUUCUGCUUUUUGCCCAAGUUCUUCAGUUCAUCUUUUCCUUGAAAUUAUCUCUAAUAUUUUUCCAUGCCAAAUUUGAUUAUAUAAGGCAUACCCGUGUUUUAGCAUUUAGAAUGGACAAUAACUCUCCUAGGACACCUUCCCCAAUACCAUGCUUCUCCAGUAACACUCCAUGCACAUCUCUAUCCUUGCACUUGGUUUACUAUAUUGUAAAUGUAACUGCUUUAUUGAACAGGUUGAAUUCACUGGGGUUAUCAAUGUAAAAUUAUUUAAAAUUUUCUAAUACUUUUAAUUGUGCUCUGCUGAACCUUUAUUUCUCCCUCUGGAUUGUACAGUGCAUUAAUAACAUGUUAUUCUCAUUCUGAUUUCAUAAAACUAUUUAUUCAAAGAUUUAACCCUCUCCACCACCCCCUGCAACACACACACACAAAUACACACAAACACACACACACAGUGAUUGGACACAGUUCAAAAUAGGAAAUGAGAUAUUAUUUUUCCUGUCUUAUAAGUUUAUUCAAACUUUACAACUGAUUCUCUGAGGGUCUCUCUCCCCUACCUUUAAUAAGGGAAAACAGUUGAACAUCCAACUCUCACUAAAAGGGAGGUGUAGGAAGGCAAGUGAAUAAAGUGAAUAGCUUCUCUUCCUGAAUGAUAUAUUUAAACACAAGCUGAGCUCUUAGGCUCAGUGUCCCAUUCAUAUGCUUCUCCAGGUGAAGACCCGGUGAAGUCUUCUUUGAACUUAGUCCUACAUAAUUUAAGGGAGAACUAUUUAUCUUCACUCUAAUUCUAUCUAUAUGCACUAUUAAAAACAACAGCAACUGUUACCACAGCAAAUAAAAAAUUAAA
Molecule: long non-coding RNA, 4353 nt
Organism: Chlorocebus sabaeus (green monkey)
Lineage: Eukaryota; Metazoa; Chordata; Mammalia; Primates; Cercopithecidae
Source: RefSeq, a predicted model, not a curated record